Molecule: long non-coding RNA, 674 nt
Filed under: Mytilus galloprovincialis (Mediterranean mussel)
Lineage: Eukaryota; Metazoa; Mollusca; Bivalvia; Mytilida; Mytilidae
Source: RNAcentral
CCCCUCCGUAAAACAUUCAGUAUGCCUUCGGAAUAUACAAAUAUUAAGGUAUUGUCAAGAAUUUCAAUAACGGCCGGGAAACAGACUAGUUGUUAACCUUCUAUGAUUAUUAAAGAAUGACGGAUGUUUUAUUUCGGUACGUCUAAACACUGCUAAGAAUUCCUUGGUGCACUAAGGCCUUGACUAUACAAUGCCACUAAGGACUAAAAGGAGUGCUGUUAUAUGUAUUAUUUUUAUAUAUAUCAUUCUAGAGAUUGAUAUUUAAUGCUUAAAUUUCAAAUUUUACAGAAAAAAAUCAUAAAUAAACGAGAUAUUCAACAUUAUUUAGACACGUGCCGGUUUUUCUUUGAUAUGCCGAAAAUCAAUGAACCGAUUGACACGUGCCAAAUAACAUAACAACUGAUUAAACAAUCACGAUCUUUUUAUUUUAAGUAAUUUAAAACAAUUGUAUCGAAAAGAUUUAUGCUUCAAAUAUUUAUAAUUAUAUGUGUUGUUCUUAUUCAAAAUGAUAAAAAGGACAAAUAAUUUUGCUGUUGUUUUAUUUCUUUCCCAACAAAAUUGUUUGCCAUAGGAGCACGACUUUGAUGUGCGCUAACUUAUAAGUAAGAGUUUGGUCAGCUUGUUAAAAUGUUUAUGUAAGAUAUACGAAGACAAAAGGAAUAUAUAUAUUUAUA